UGUGCUUGCACACCGUGGUUUUCUUGAGUCGCGAACGGGUGAGUAACGCGUAGGUAACCUGCCUAUUAGCGGGGGAUAACUAUUGGAAACGAUAGCUAAUACCGCAUAAUAUUAAUUAUUGCAUGAUAAUUGAUUGAAAGAUGCAAGCGCAUCACUAGUAGAUGGACCUGCGUUGUAUUAGCUAGUUGGUAAGGUAAGAGCUUACCAAGGCGACGAUACAUAGCCGACCUGAGAGGGUGAUCGGCCACACUGGGACUGAGACACGGCCCAGACUCCUACGGGAGGCAGCAGUAGGGAAUCUUCGGCAAUGGACGAAAGUCUGACCGAGCAACGCCGCGUGAGUGAAGAAGGUUUUCGGAUCGUAAAGCUCUGUUGUAAGUCAAGAACGUGUGUGAGAGUGGAAAGUUCACACAGUGACGGUAGCUUACCAGAAAGGGACGGCUAACUACGUGCCAGCAGCCGCGGUAAUACGUAGGUCCCGAGCGUUGUCCGGAUUUAUUGGGCGUAAAGGGAGCGCAGGCGGUCAGGAAAGUCUGGAGUAAAAGGCUAUGGCUCAACCAUAGUGUGCUCUGGAAACUGUCUGACUUGAGUGCAGAAGGGGAGAGUGGAAUUCCAUGUGUAGCGGUGAAAUGCGUAGAUAUAUGGAGGAACACCAGUGGCGAAAGCGGCUCUCUGGUCUGUCACUGACGCUGAGGC
This 696-nucleotide ribosomal RNA is filed under the name Streptococcus sp. HFB0011. RNAcentral's name for it is "bacterial SSU rRNA". It matches the Rfam family "Bacterial small subunit ribosomal RNA", at positions 75 to 752 of the family's 1533-position model. Lineage: Bacteria; Bacillati; Bacillota; Bacilli; Lactobacillales; Streptococcaceae. The record is from RNAcentral.